GGGGACGGGGACGACCAACUUGGGUCGCGGCGCAGCCCGGCUCUCCCGAGAGCGCCGAGCCGGGGAGCGCCACCGCCACGGCCAGACGGCGGGAGCGGAGCGAGGCAAGCAGAGGCGGCAAGCGGCUCCCGCGCCGCAGCCCAGGCCUUGGCGAGAGCGCGAAUAUUUUUCAAACGACUCAAACUUUCCUUCUUUCCCCGCGUUCUGGGGUCUCUCUUGGAUGGAAUUGCUCUCCUGAUUGCCGCGGGGCCCUGGGGCGCGAUUCCUCCCCGGGGUUCCUCGGUGGCUCGGCUAACUUCGCGGACCCGUGGACCCGUGACUCUCGCCCCUCCGCGGAGCCUAGCCCGCGCUUCUCCCCUGCUCAGGAGGGCCAGAGCCGGGGCUUUUCGCCUCCGAGAGGACGCCCAGCCCGGCCCCCUUGGGUCGGGCCAUUGAGCCCCCAGCACCGGCCGCAGAACUGGAGACAGCGGAUUAACCCCAGCGGAGCCCCGGCCUCCCCGCCCCAGCUCCGCGGAGGGGCGUCCCCUGGGCGGGGAAACGACAAGUUUGUCAGUCGUCGGUGGCCUGUUGGAUCCAAGCGCCUCCGCCUCCGCAAAGGGGUCCCUGGCGCCCAGAACCCCGAGCGGACAGCCCUGGGAACUCGGAGAGGCUCGGCGGCCGGGCUUCUCGGGCCGGGGCGCUGGCUGCUGCGCCGGGCGCGCCGAGGCACCCGGGGCCGGGCCAGCGCCCCCUGCGUUCCCACGCGGGCAGCGGCCCCGCCGGAGGAGAAACCCGGGUCGCUGCCGCUGCCGCCGCCACCGCCGCCUCCUCAGCCUCCUGAUUUCCGUCGCCGCCGCCGCCGCCCCCUCCGUCGCCUCUCGGGGAAGGGGAAGACGCAAGGGGCAUCGCAGGGCCCCGGCGGAGGCGCCCCCCACCGCCUCUCGGGCUGCGCCGCCUCGCGGGGAUGAAGCACGGGCCGUGAAGAUGGAGGUGACCUGCCUUCUACUUCUGGCGCUGAUCCCCUUCCACUGCCAGGGACAAGGAGUCUACGCUCCAGCCCAGGCUCAGAUCGUGCACGCGGGCCAGGCGUGUGUGGUGAAAGAGGACAACAUCAGUGAGCGCGUCUACACCAUCCGGGAGGGGGACACCUUGGUGCUGCAGUGCCUGGUCACCGGGCACCCUCGGCCCCAGGUGCGUUGGACCAAGACCGCGGGCAGCGCGUCGGACAAGUUCCAGGAGACGUCGGUGUUCAAUGAGACACUGCGCAUUGAGCGCAUCGCGCGCACGCAGGGCGGCCGCUACUACUGCAAGGCCGAGAACGGCGUGGGCGUGCCUGCCAUCAAGUCCAUCCGGGUGGACGUGCAGUACCUGGACGAGCCAGUGCUGACAGUACACCAGACAGUGAGUGAUGUUCGAGGCAACUUCUACCAGGAGAAGACGGUGUUCCUGCGCUGUACGGUCAACUCCAACCCACCUGCCCGCUUCAUCUGGAAGCGGGGCUCGGACACCUUGUCUCACAGCCAGGACAAUGGGGUCGACAUCUAUGAGCCCCUCUACACCCAGGGGGAGACCAAGGUCCUGAAGCUGAAGAACCUGCGGCCCCAGGACUAUGCCAGCUACACCUGCCAGGUGUCUGUACGCAACGUGUGUGGCAUCCCGGACAAGGCCGUCACCUUCCGGCUCACCAACACCACGGCACCACCAGCCCUGAAGCUGUCUGUGAACGAAACUCUGGUGGUGAACCCUGGGGAGAAUGUGACGGUACAGUGUCUGCUGACAGGCGGUGAUCCCCUGCCCCAGCUGCAGUGGUCCCAUGGACCAGGCCCACUGCCCCUGGGUGCCCUGGCCCAGGGUGGCACCCUCAGCAUCCCUUCAGUGCAGGCCCGAGACUCUGGCUACUACAACUGCACAGCCACCAACAAUGUGGGCAACCCUGCCAAGAAGACUGUCAACCUCCUGGUGCGAUCCAUGAAGAACGCCACAUUCCAGAUCACCCCAGAUGUGAUCAAAGAAAGCGAGAACAUACAGCUGGGCCAGGACCUGAAGCUGUCAUGCCAUGUGGAUGCAGUGCCCCAGGAGAAGGUGACCUACCAGUGGUUCAAGAAUGGCAAGCCAGCGCGCAUGUCCAAGAGGCUGCUGUUGACUCGCAAUGACCCUGAGUUGCCCGCUGUCACCAGCAGCCUAGAGCUCAUUGACCUACACUUCAGCGACUACGGCACCUAUCUGUGUGUGGCUUCCUUCCCGGGGGCACCUGUGCCCGACCUGAGCGUCGAGGUCAACAUCUCCUCUGAGACAGUGCCUCCCACCAUCAGCGUGCCCAAGGGCAGGGCCGUGGUGACGGUGCGCGAGGGCUCGCCCGCCGAGCUGCAGUGCGAGGUGCGGGGCAAGCCGCGGCCGCCUGUGCUUUGGUCCCGUGUGGACAAGGACGCUGCGUUGCUGCCCUCGGGGCUGCCCCUCGAGGAGACCUCGGACGGGAAGCUGCGGCUGGAGCGCGUGAGCCGCGACAUGAGUGGGACCUACCGCUGCCAGACGGCUCGCUAUAAUGGCUUCAACGUGCGCCCCCGCGAGGCCCAGGUGCAGCUGAACGUGCAGUUCCCGCCGGAGGUGGAGCCCAGCUCCCAGGACGUGCGCCAGGCACUGGGCCGGCCAGUGCUGCUGCGCUGCUCGCUGCUUCGAGGCAGCCCCCAGCGCAUCUCCUCGGCUGUGUGGCGCUUCAAAGGGCAACUGCUGCCUCCGCCGCCUGCUGUCCCCGUCGCCGCCGAGGCCCCCGACCACUCCGAGCUGCGCCUCGACGCCGUCACCCGCGACAGCAGCGGCAGCUACGAGUGCAGCGUCUCCAACGACGUGGGCUCGGCUGCCUGCCUCUUCCAGGUCUCGGCCAAAGCCUACAGCCCGGAGUUUUACUUCGACACCCCCAACCCCACCCGCAGCCACAAGCUGUCCAAGAAUUACUCCUACGUGCUGCAGUGGACCCAGAGGGAGCCUGACGCUGUCGACCCUCUACUCAACUACAGACUCAGUGUCCGCCAGUUGAAUCAGCAAAACGCCAUGGUGAGGGCCAUCCCGGUGCGGCGUGUGGAGAAGGGGCAGCUGCUGGAGUACAUCCUGACUGACCUCCGAGUGCCCCACAGCUACGAGGUCCGCCUCACGCCCUACACCACUUUCGGGGCUGGAGAUACGGCCUCCCGCAUCAUCCACUACACAGAGCCCAUCAACUCUCCCAAUCUGUCAGACAACACCUGCCACUUUGAGGAUGAGAAGAUCUGCGGCUACACCCAGGACCUGACAGACAACUUUGACUGGACCCGGCAGAAUGCCCUCACCCAGAACCCCAAGCGCUCCCCCAACACUGGUCCCCCCACGGACAUAAGUGGCACCCCUGAGGGCUACUACAUGUUCAUUGAGACAUCAAGGCCCCGGGAGUUGGGGGACCGUGCGAGGUUGGUGAGUCCCCUGUACAACGCCAGCGCCAAGUUCUACUGCGUCUCCUUCUUCUACCACAUGUACGGGAAGCAUAUCGGUGAGUCGAGGGACCAGGCUCCCUCAACCUCCUGGUGCGGUCCCGGAACAGAGGGGCACUGGACACGCACGCCUGGUCCCUCAGUGGCAAUAAGGGCAACGUGUGGCAGCAGGCGCAUGUGCCCAUCAACCCCAGCGGGCCCUUCCAGAUUAUUUUUGAGGGGGUUCGAGGCUCGGGCUACCUGGGGGAUAUCGCCAUAGAUGACGUCACACUGAAGAAGGGAGAGUGUCCCAGGAAGCAGAUGGAUCCCAAUAAAGUGGUGGUGAUGCCGGGCAGUGGAGCCCCCUGGCAGCCCCGCCCACAGCUCUGGGGGCCCGUGGCCAUCUUCCUCUUGGCGUUGCAGAGAUGAUGAGCGCUUCGUGGCCCCCCCACCCCGCCCCCGGCACACCAAAGUGUCCGCAUCGUACCAAAGACUGACCCCAUGCCAGCCGGGGUGCCCAGGGGCAGAGCCGCCCGCCAGUGAGGGGGCCUGCAUUGGCUGUGAGGAUGAGCAGAGAACAAGGACAGCGGCCCAGCACUGAGGCCCCGGAGACGUUUGUUCGACACACGCACACACUCACACACACACAGAUAUAUUAAAGCACAAGUUUCUAUCUGACCUGCCAGCACCUUCUUUGCUGCAGAGACAGGGGACUCGCCUGAAUGGCAUCCACCACCCCAGGGACCUCAGCGCCACGUAGGCCUUGUCCUGGCUGCACCUGUGGUGUGUUUCUGACCUUCCCCUGUCCCUGACUCCAGGCUGAGCUCAGCCCCGUGGCUUUACCAGAAGGAGCCAGAAGGGGAGCAGACACAGGAGCCCUGCCCUUGGCUGGACUCUGGGGCCCCCUGGGAUGGAGGAGGCCAGGGUCAGAGGGGGCCAAGCGGGACUGACUCUGACAUGAGGCAGCAGCUGCACACAACUCUGUUCCCAGAGCGAAGGCCAGAAGCCGGAGAGCCCAGGCCACCCAUAUCCCCGGACCCAUUCAUUCCUGGGAUGUCAUAUCCCCCCCCUCACUGUGCCCACUUCCAAGGGACCUAGCGCAGGGCCUUGGGCCCGGACAGUCUGGAGACUGACCCCUUCCCCACCCUCCCCAUCCCACUGCACCCCACCCCACAAGCAGCUGUAUUCCUGAGAGCACAGCCCCUGCCCUGCUCAGCUGGCCUAACCUCAGCCCCCAGCUGAGCCAGGGGGGAGGGGUGGUGGCCAAGCCAUCUUCUGGGGUGAGGCUGGCCUCUGAGAGGGGCAGAGGAGAAGUCCUGCUUUUAUGAUUUCACGCCCCCAUAUUGGACAUUGAUUUUAGGAGUAGAGUGGAACCUCCAUUUCUUAUAUACUUGCCAUGAAGGGGUGCUCUGGAUGGGGUGUGUGUAGGGGGCUGCCCUGUCCUCCUCCACCGCAAAGCACUGUCUAAUGGGCUGUUCCCUUCCCCGCCCAGGGUCAGUGAAGGAGGAGGGGUUUGUAGAGCUGGGGGUGGUGUGUGGGGCAGUUGCUGGUCACCGUGCUCCCUGGGAGCUGAGCCUUGUGCCCCAAAACUGGGAAAGGGCUCCGUGCCCUUGGUCCUGGGUUGGGAGACUGAGACAGACAUGAUGGGACCUAGACCUCCUCCUCACCAUCAUCCCUGAGCCCCCCUCCUAGCGGUCCAUGGGAGAGAGGAGGCCCAACCCCUUCCAGGGUGAGUCAUCACGCGUGUGUGCAUGUGGCUGUGUGGGUGUGCACGUGUGAGCAUGUGUGGGCCCAUCUGUUGUCUGUGUACCACUGUGGGUAUAUCUCUGGCAGGAGUGUGUGCAAAUAUGUAUCUGCGUGUGCAGUUAUCCAUAUGUGAGGCUGGGUCUAACCCCCGUCUCUUGUGAGUGCCUGCGUAUGUCAGUAUGUCCAUCUUCAUGAGUGACAUGAAUGUUCGUGGAGUGCUGGCCAAAUAUGCCGCUUCAGCCCUACUCUGUAGUCUCAAGCUGCUUGCCACCACCUGAAUUUCUACCUUUUAUCCUCUAUGGGUGACAAAGAGCUUACAGAUGACCCUAUUGAAAUGAAGGCACCUUUGGUGGAGAUGUCACAGGGCUCCUCCUGGAGCAUUUGGUGGGGACAGCUGCAGAGAAGAGGCAGCACUGCAAUGCCAGGAGGCAGGCAGGAAACCAGAGUAAACGCUGCCCAUCUCGGCUCUGCCAGGCUGGUGUUAUCAUCAUCACCAACAGCUGGUGGGUGGCCAGGCCAGGGCUGGAGUGGGGCCUCCUGAUACCCGACCAGCGUGGCUGCCUUCCUGGCCCAGCCAAGGCCUCUGUCCAAAAUGAGUGGCUCCAGGUUCCCAGAACAUGCUGCCAUUUUUCUGCGGGUAUUGUUCCUUAACUGUCCCAUCUGUGCAGGGUCUGUUGUCCCAACUAGACUGUGAGCUCCUCCUCUGAGCCUUCCAACCCUCCCCUGACCCCAUCCCACCCUCAUGCCCAGCACAAGUGGGUCUGUUAUGGAAGUCUCUCAACGGGCUUUGCCUAGCGGAAUGGAUUAUAGAAAUCAGUGGUUCCCAGCCUGGCAGCAGAAUAGAACCGCCAGAGAUUCUUUUAGAAAGCACCAAUGCUUGGGGCCCUCUCCAGAGAUUCCAGUUUAAUUGGACUGGAGUGCAGCCUGGCAUCAGAAAUGUUUAAAAGCUCCUCAGGAGAACCCUAGAGUAGGAACGACUGGCCUAUCACCUGCCAGGUGCUUCCCCCGUGCCCUGGCUGGCGUGGGUGCUGGAGAUCCAGAGCGCUUCCUCCUUGGGGCUCCGUGGUGCCCCAUGCCUACUGCCCCCAGAUGACCUUUGAGUACAUCUGUCCCCUGCUCUGGCUGCUCCGUGAUGGAGACCCUCUCUCCCUCAUUCACCGCCACAUCUGUAGAGCUGGGUACAGAAAAGGGACUCGGCAUAUGUCAGCUGAGCCGAAGCACAUACACGUGGCCCCUGAGUUCUGGUCUGUUCGGAGAGAGGGGACAUGGUUACGUGGACAGAGUGUGCGGGGUGGGGGAGCACCAGGGAGCACUGCCAGAGGGAGGUCGGGGUGGGACCGGGGCAGCCCUGACUCCAGAGUGGCUUGACCUGGGCUAACAAAGUGCCCGAGGGAGCCACUGAGAUCCUUGGUCCUUGCGUGUGUCUGCACGUGCCAGCGGGUCUGCAGUGGAUGUGGGUGUCAGUGUGUGCUGACAUUAACAGUGUGUGAUGUGAGCACCUAGGGGUGUGCUAGCCUGUGUGUGGGGGAGUGUCUGCAAGGAAUGAGCGUCUUUGUGUGUCGCUGGGUGACUCGUGAGUCAGUGUUUGUCUCUGCGUGCCUGUGAGUCAGCACCUCUGUGUCAGUGUCACCUGUGCCACGUGUGUCUUUGUGUGCCAGUGGAUAUCAGCGUCCAUGUGUUGGUAGGUGGCCCAUGAGGACCCCCAGCCCGGGGGAGACCCGCCUGGCUGGAUCCAGUGCAUCUCCCCAGUGGCAGUCUCACCCUCUGGGUCAGGGUGGCUGAGGCAUUUUGUGGCCUUAAAACAGGGAGUCCAGGGUCAGCCCUCAGGGUGUUAGGGUCCUUUACCCCUGUCCCCUCCAGCUUGGUGUCUGGGGGACAAAGGGACUCCUGGGGCCAGGUGCUGUAUAGGUAGGAGACAGGGAGCCUCAGCUUGGCUGUCCUGCCCCUGGAACCAUAGACGGCCACCUGGGGUGCCGAGCUAAGCCUGCAGACCAAGCCCCCUGCUCCAGGGACGCUCCUUCCGCCUCUGCCCUCUCUGGGAUAGCCCUGACUCCUCUUUCUCAUUCACUUUGCCCUCUCCCUAUGCUCAGUGAAAGCCCCUGGCUCAGGCUGUCAGUGCUGGGAUGGACCGUAGAGGUCCAAACUCCUCAUGGUAAGAAUGAGAGUUAAGCCCAGAGAGGGGGAGGGACUUGCCCCAGGUCACACAGCCAGUUAAGGUGGAGCCAGCCUUGGAAGCCAGGUACUACAGUCCUGGGGUUGUCACACCUCUGGCCACUGCUCAUGCCAGGCAGCAAGGAGGAGCUUGGUCAAACAUCCCUGUCUCCGGGUGCUGGUACAGAUGUUACAGAUGUUACUGGGCCCUGCACUGGGAGAGGUACUGUCUCCCUGCCCCCAAUUCUGGCCCUGCAUCCCAGGCCACAGCCCUUCCUGCCCCAGGUCAAGCCUGGGUGCCACAUGGAGGCUGACGCCCUUUGCCCCCACUGGCUAUGGCUGCUGCCCCUCCCCCAGGCUCCCAGAUGAAAGGGACUCUGUUUCCCCUCCCCCCUGCCUUCACAUGAACCUGGGCUGGGAAUGAAGGUCAAUGUGUCCUGGUGUCCUUAUCCUGUUGACUUCCCCCUAAGGACCAGGGGAACCUGGGGGAGCAGGGCUAAUCCUCGUGUUUUCCUCUCUCUGGACAGCUCAAGGGGGACGGGGGUAUUUUCAGGGUCUGUCCUCAGGAAUGGGGUGGGUGAACCUGCUCUGGAGGGUCCCUGUAGGGCCACUGGUUGAGUUUCUGGGUUCAGGGGAGCCCUCCUCAAUUCCAAAGGCAGGAUAGCGCCCCCCUCUCUGUUGAGUCAGUGCUGCUGUGUGCGUGCGUGGAUGAGAGGGUGUGUG
Molecule: RNA transcript, 8039 nt
Organism: Balaenoptera acutorostrata (minke whale)
Lineage: Eukaryota; Metazoa; Chordata; Mammalia; Artiodactyla; Balaenopteridae
Gene: MDGA1
Gene name: MAM domain containing glycosylphosphatidylinositol anchor 1
Exons: 17
Source: RefSeq, a predicted model, not a curated record